UUUAAUUUAAAAGUUUCAAAAGUUAAUUUUAAAAAGUUCUACUUUUUACACGUAUACUUCAAAUUCUUAAAGCUAUUUUGUAUACAGGGAAUUGUCCAAUUUUUAAAAAAAAUAUGUUGGAUAAAAGGAUGUUAAUGAUAAAAACUCUCAACUCAUGUAUAAUUGAUAUGGCAGUGACCGGCACUACAGGUGUUCAUUACCAGUAGACAAACCUAAGGUUAUUAUAAAUUUGCGCCUAUGUCAUGGAUGCUGAAGGUAUUGAACAACUCACAAGUAUAAAAAUACAACCUUAUUAUAAGAAAUUUCGUAUUAAU
This is a long non-coding RNA of Daktulosphaira vitifoliae (grape phylloxera), 314 nucleotides long. RefSeq lists it as uncharacterized. NCBI's taxonomy places the organism in Eukaryota, Metazoa, Arthropoda, Insecta, Hemiptera, Phylloxeridae. The transcript is spliced from 4 exons. The record is from RefSeq and is a predicted model, not a curated record.